RNAcentral lists this ribosomal RNA (272 nucleotides) under uncultured prokaryote. Its description in RNAcentral is "partial 16S ribosomal RNA". It matches the Rfam family "Bacterial small subunit ribosomal RNA", at positions 524 to 796 of the family's 1533-position model. The record is from RNAcentral.
UACGGAGGGUGCGAGCGUUAAUCGGAAUUACUGGGCGUAAAGGGCACGCAGGCGGUUAAUUAAGUUGGAUGUGAAAUCCCCGGGCUUAACCUGGGAAUGGCAUUCAAGACUGGUUAACUAGAGUCUUGUAGAGGGGGGUAGAAUUCCAUGUGUAGCGGUGAAAUGCGUAGAGAUGUGGAGGAAUACCGGUGGCGAAGGCGGCCCCCUGGACAAAGACUGACGCUCAUGUGCGAAAGCGUGGGGAGCAAACAGGAUUAGAUACCCUGUAGUCC